UACGAAGGGUGCUAGCGUUGUUCGGAAUCACUGGGCGUAAAGCGCGCGUAGGCGGCUUUUCAAGUCAGGGGUGAAAUGCCAAGACUUAACCUUGGAACUGCCUUUGAAACUGUAAAGCUGGAGUGUCGGAGGGGAUAGCGGAAUUGCUAAUGUAGAGGUGAAAUUCGUAGAUAUUAGCAGGAACACCGGUGGCGAAGGCGGCUAUCUGGACGACAACUGACGCUGAGGCGCGAAAGCGUGGGGAUCAAACAGG
RNAcentral lists this ribosomal RNA (253 nucleotides) under uncultured bacterium. RNAcentral describes it as "partial 16S ribosomal RNA". It matches the Rfam family "Bacterial small subunit ribosomal RNA", at positions 524 to 776 of the family's 1533-position model. The record is from RNAcentral.